GACGAACGCUGGCGGCGUGCUUAACACAUGCAAGUCGAACGGUGAACCUCUUCGGAGGGGAUCAGUGGCGAACGGGUGAGUAACACGUGGGCAACCUGCCCCCGGCUCUGGGAUAACUCCAAGAAAUUGGGGCUAAUACCGGAUGUUCACCGCUUCCCGCAUGGGUGGUGGUGGAAGGGGUUCCCGGCGGGGGAUGGGCCCGCGGCCUAUCAGCUGGUUGGUGGGGUAGUGGCUUACCAAGGCGACGACGGGUAGCCGGCCUGAGAGGGUGACCGGCCACACUGGGACUGAGACACGGCCCAGACUCCUACGGGAGGCAGCAGUGGGGAAUAUUGCGCAAUGGGCGGAAGCCUGACGCAGCGACGCCGCGUGGGGGAUGACGGCCUUCGGGUUGUAAACCUCUUUCAGCAGGGACGAAGCGCAAGUGACGGUACCUGCAGGAGAAGCACCGGCCAACUACGUG
Molecule: ribosomal RNA, 463 nt
Filed under: uncultured bacterium
Lineage: Bacteria
Description: partial 16S ribosomal RNA
Rfam family: Bacterial small subunit ribosomal RNA
Source: RNAcentral